UUAGAUAUUGCUAAACUGAAAAAACAAGUUUUUGAGGCAUCUCAGGCUCAUCUCACCCUAUUGCCUGGAGCUGAUAUUCUUGCUGGAGCCUCUGAUGGCCUUUCUAAUACCAAUCCUUUAAAGUGGAUUGAAACCAUAGGUGGAUCAACAAUUGCAAAUUUUAUUUUGGUUUGUGUCUGUUUAUGUUGCUUGUUUUUAGUCUACAGAUGCAGAUGGUGCCUUGGGAGAGAAACCAGACACCAUGAAUGAGCCAUAAUAGCAAUGGCAGUUAUUAAUAAAAAAAAAUCAAUAGAGGCAAAAAAGGGGAACAUGUGGGAAAGUGUUUCUGGGGUGCCAGUUGAGUUGGUCUCCCCUGUGUGAGACACCCAUGGGAAGCCAUGGGCAGCCUCUGGGGAGAAAAGUCUCCUUAUUGCUUUCAUGUCUUUAUGCCCCAAGAGCAUAACCACUCAGCAGCAUUCCACAGGUUGCUCAGGGAGACAACACUCCCUUGAAGCAGUGGAGUAUAAUCAAACAUCUUGGCUCCUCCUUAAACCCGCUCCCACCCAUUUCAGUCCUGAUAAGCUAAAGAUCUUAAGUAGUUUAGACACACGCCUUUGCUCAAGGAAAUUCACAGAAACCGCCACUGCUACACAUCUUAUGGAAUGACUCACGAGUUCUCCUUCACUGAUUAAUCCUUUUCCUCAUCCCUUCCUCCCCCUCCCAUCUGCCCUAAGAACAAAGAGCUUGUAAACCAGUAAAUUUGGCAGAGCUCAAGAGCUCUGGGCCGUGAGCAAGCCUCCGAUAUUCUGGUCCCCUGAACCCGCCUUUUAAAUGCUUAUUCUGUCUCUUUCUAACUCCUAUGUCUCCACCAGACUCAGGGUACCCACUGGGUGGUGUGGGGCUGGUUUCCCUAACAUUCCCCACCAAAUAAAGCAGCUCCAACCUUCUAGAUGGUUGCUCAGCUCAGAAGUCUUAGAGAAAUUCUGAUGCCUCUCCUCACAUUUGCUCUGUCGGCAAAUCCUGGUGUCACAAGAGGGCUCAGGAGGGUUUCUGGAUGCCAACGAGACCCCAGCCACAGCCGGUCCCCAGAUUCUUGACAUCAUCACAAGAAAGAAUUCACAGGGUUGCUUCAGCGUCCUCACAACAGGAUGGCUGACUUCCCCAAGAGAGCAGCUCAAGAGAGAGCAAGGAGAAAGACACAACAUCUUUAAUGAUCUAUGCUUGGAAGCUAUAUGUUGCCACUUUUGCAAUAUCCUACAGAUCGCUUAGCUCCAUCCAACAUGGAAAGGGAUCAGACACGGGCAUCAUUGCCAGAUGAUAAUCCCUGAUGGUCAUCUUGGAUGCUGGCCACCACAGUUACAUUUGAGAUGGUGCACAAGAAGGCUCUCGCCAGAUGCUGGUCUUGUGAUCUUGGACUUCCCAGCCUCCAGAACUGUCAGCGUUGCUUCCACUGCACCUCUGAAAGUACUCAGCUCUGCCCCAAACCUGGAGAGUGCCGCAUUUCUCCAGACUGCAAGAAACAGUGUGGAUGACUCAGUGGAGAUCAUAAUGGCAUCUGAGUGAUCAACGACAGCCUCCAGUUGCCACUUGGUGAGAGAACAAAGGAACCGGGGCAUGCUCAGCUAUGGCUGCAAGCCCUUCAAGUGAAGCUGGGCACUUACCCCCUUCAUUCCAUUCUCCUCAGGAUAACAGAUUAAAAUUCCAGAAGUGUGCACCUGUUGUGUAUUCAGGAGAUUGUCGUUGUGCAUAAAGAGACCACUUGAGGCCCUGUAAGCAAAGACUAAUGGGGCUGAGUCAAAAUCUGGGAAUCUGAUGAACUAACACACUCAAAUGAAACUGAUUUGUGGGCAAGUACGAAUAGAAUAAAUGCCCUGGCGUUGUGACGACAUUGCAGUUAGUGCUUUCUUAUCCUUCAAGGUCUGCUGCCAAAACAAAGCUUUUCCAGAGGGUAUUUUUAUGAGACUGCAAGUUCUCGAAUGCAGGUGAAAGAGGGAGACAUCCUUACGUUGUCUUAGCACAGGUUUUGACCACUAAAAACAAGACUCAUGAUAAUAAUGGAUUUAGCGAGAUAAGAGUUUGUUUCUCUCUCACGUGAGUUUUCCAGCCAGUGUGGCAACUCAUUCCGUGAAGUCAUCAGGCGUGCAGGCUUCUCUCACCUUGGUGCUCUGCCAUCCCCAAGAUGCUGCCCCCAUCUGCAAGCACCAAGACGGCACCCCACUGUGUCCACAUUCUAGGCAUCAGGAUUGGGGAAAAGAGGAAGGGAGAGUAUGCCUCUCUUAAGGGCACAGUACAGAAGUUGCUCACAUCUCAUUGGUCAAAACUUAGUCACCUGGCCACACAAACUCAUAUCUGGGCUUUAUUCUAGGCAGCCCUGUGCCCAGCUAAAAAUUGAGGCCCUGGCUCCUGUUGAAUAGGGUUUCUCAACUUGAGCACUACUGGUAUUUUGGGUCAGAUAAUUAUUUAUUGCAGGGGGCUGUCCAGUUCAUUGCAGCAUAUUCAGGAGCAUCUCUGACUUUCACCUACAAGAUGCCAGCAGCAUCCCUCCAUCAAGUUGUGACAACCAAAUAUCUCCAGACUUUGUCAAAUGUCCCCUUGGAGACAAAAUUGUCUCUGAUGGAGAGCCACUCUUAUUUAAGAAGGGGAGAGUAGAGACUAGGGGACAGUUGGCCAUCCCUGCCAGAUAUAAGUUGAUAUUUUUUAUUUCUUUCCUCCUCAUGUACAGAACAGGGCGGCCAUUAGGACCACCACUUUAGAAGUAUUACUGAACAAUCAAUGCACUCACGGCUGGAUGCUCAUGAAGCCAAUACCAUGGCAAUGGCUUUGGGGAAAAGAAAAGCUUCCUUUGGGGAUUUACAAUAGCAAAAACAUGGAAUCAACCUAAAU
This 2862-nucleotide long non-coding RNA is filed under the name Homo sapiens (human). RNAcentral's name for it is "HSALNT0384844". The record is from RNAcentral. Lineage: Eukaryota; Metazoa; Chordata; Mammalia; Primates; Hominidae.